This 301-nucleotide ribosomal RNA is filed under the name uncultured bacterium. RNAcentral describes it as "partial 16S ribosomal RNA". It matches the Rfam family "Bacterial small subunit ribosomal RNA", at positions 509 to 809 of the family's 1533-position model. The record is from RNAcentral.
CAGUCGCCGCGGUAAUACGUAGGUGGCGAGCGUUGUCCGGAAUUAUUGGGCGUAAAGCGCGCGCAGGCGGAUAGGUCAGUCUGUCUUAAAAGUUCGGGGCUUAACCCCGUGAUGGGAUGGAAACUGCCAAUCUAGAGUAUCGGAGAGGAAAGUGGAAUUCCUAGUGUAGCGGUGAAAUGCGUAGAUAUUAGGAAGAACACCAGUGGCGAAGGCGACUUUCUGGACGAAAACUGACGCUGAGGCGCGAAAGCCAGGGGAGCGAACGGGAUUAGAUACCCGCGUAGUCCCUGUCUCUUAUACA